UGGUUGAAGUAAAAACAGGGAAUUAAUGCUGAAGCUCUUGGGAGUAAAUCUGAAUGUAGGGGGAUUUCAAGGAAUCAGAAAAGGCCUAAGAAUGCAGUGAUGUAAGGUACUUGAAAGCAUGCAACAGAGUAAAAAGGGGAAUUUAAACAGAAUAACAGCAGCACCUGCAAUCACCAGCAAUGCAAACUUAGCUGUACUCCCAAGCUCCAGUUCAUCAUGGCUACCUUGCUACACACACCCUCUCCCCUAUUUACUUCUGUGAUUGGGAACUUACUGUUUUAAAUUGAAUUUUUGAACCAUUGUUCAACUAAACAUUCCCAGCUUUGAAAAAUCCAUCUUAGGAGCAUCUAGGUGUAAAAUCCCAAUUUUAACAUGCUAUUUGCUGCCAUUUUCCUCCGGGCUUGCACUUUCACUAUUUUCUUUUAUUUUCAACUAUUUUCAUGAUUUUCUCGAUUUUCUCAAG
RNAcentral lists this long non-coding RNA (463 nucleotides) under Vitis vinifera (wine grape). RNAcentral describes it as "long non-coding RNA (VVIN_LNC005399)". Lineage: Eukaryota; Viridiplantae; Streptophyta; Magnoliopsida; Vitales; Vitaceae. The record is from RNAcentral.